RNAcentral lists this unclassified non-coding RNA (208 nucleotides) under uncultured Orbiliales. RNAcentral's name for it is "sequence contains ITS2". Lineage: Eukaryota; Fungi; Ascomycota; Orbiliomycetes; Orbiliales. The record is from RNAcentral.
CAAAACCUCUCAGCCAAUUGCUUUAUUGCUCUUGUGCUGGUUAUGGGUGUUUUGGAGGACAUGGUCCCUUGUAGACCAGCUCCCGCCUUAAACUUGCUGCACGACCGCAAGCUAUUGUUAGGUUAAUGGAGUGGUAUUUUCUUAUAAUUCCAGCAACUCGUACAUGGCUCUUGUGGCGUUAAACCCAAUGUCGUUUAACGCGACUGAA